AGUGUUGCUGAUUGGCUGGUUUGAACGAUGCUGUGCAGGCUGUUGUGGCGCGUGGCUCCAACCGUCACCUUCAGGGCGGGGGCCCCCUCCCUCACCCCCGGGACCCAGUUCCCCGUGCCGGCCCGGGCCUCCCCCUACCCGGCCCGGGGCCUCAGGCAGCCCCCUUGGGCCGCAGCCUGUCUGCUCCUCGCCGCCGGUCGCCGCGCUUUCUGUAGCGGGGCAAGCGGCUGCUGGCGGUGCGGGGCAGAGCGGGCCGAGGCGGCGGAGGAGGACGGCUCGGCCUUUUUCUGCCCGUCCUGCCGGGCCCUGCAGCCCCCGGACCGGCGCCGCGACUACUUCCAGUUGCUGGGCCUCCCGCGCCGCUACCGUCUGCAGACCGAGCAACUGCGGCGGAGGCUACGCCAUCUACAGCGGGAUCUGCACCCAGACAACUUCAGCCGCGGCUCCGAGGACGAGCGCCGCUUCUCGGAGGAGCAGUCAGCGUUGGUCAACGAGGCUUACGGGACUCUGCUGAGGCCUCUGUCCCGGGGCCUGUACCUCCUGCGGCUGGAGUUACCGGGGGAAGCCGGCGUAGGCGAGGAGGUGGAGAGCGGGGCGGCCGGCGGCGGUGGAGAUCCCGCCUUCCUGGCUGCCGUCCUCCACCUCAACGAGCGGCUGGAAGAGGCCCGAGGCCCGGAGGAGAUCGAGGAGGUGUCCAAGGAAGUGGAGGCCCGGCUCCGGGAGCUGGACGAGGAGGUGGCCCGGGCCUUCGAAGCGGGACGCCCGCGGGAAGCUCUCCCGCUCCUGAAGCAGAUGCGAUAUUGGAGUAGCCUCGGGGAUCGGAUAAAGGAGCGUCUGCUGCCCCGUUGAGAGCCUCCUGGGGAGGAAACCCACGCAGACAGAGGGAGAACCACUCGAGACAUGUAGAUCCUUGAUCAAAAUGCCUACUGUAACCCAUUACAAUGAAUGAGCUCUCCAGGGUGAAGCCUUUUGCUGUCUAACAUGGGUGUCCAUGGAUUGAUGACCUACAUUGGAGAAAAUCAUAAUUUUUUUAAUAAUGUCAAGAUACAAAAUACAAAAAUUGUGAUCGAUGGCAAUAGCUUAUUUCAUAGACUUUACUUUGAUUCUGGUCUCGAUCUUCAGUGUGGAGGUGAAUAUGAUUUGUUUACCGACGUCAUCUGCAAAUUUUUUGAGGCCUUGUCUCUCUGUAAUAUUGCGCCAUAUGUAGUGUUUGAUGGUGGAUGCGAUUUCACCGAUAAGAAGUUCGAAACUCUCAAACAGCGGGCCAGGGAAAAAAUCCAAAAAGCACGUGUCAUCUCUAGAGGUGGUGGAGGAAUGCUGCUACCGCUGCUGAACCCUGAAGUUUUUAAACAAGUUUUACUGCAGUUGCAAAUACCUUUCGUCCAAUGUCAUUCAGAAGCAGACCGUGAUAUUGUAACUCUCGCUAAUCAGUGGACCUGCCCUGUUGUGACGUUAGACAGUGACUUCUGUAUCUUUGAUUUGAAGGCUGGUUAUUGUCCUCUCAAUUACUUUAAGUGGCAAGACAUAAUUACUCCAAACGACCAUUCUGGAUCCUACAUUUUGGCCCAAUGUUUCUCCGUUGACAAUUUCUGUAAACAUUUUAAUCUCGUUAACAAAGCCCUACUGCCUCUGUUUGCAGUGUUGAAUGGCAACGAUUACGUGAAUAUACCUCCCUUGGAGACUUUUCUCUCCCGAGUGCAUAUCAAUGCAAAGACAUCUUGUUCAGCAGGAGGGAAAAAUAUGCGGAUUCAAGGGCUUCUGAACUGGCUGUCCAAGUUUUCUGAUCCAAAGGAGGCUAUAGAAAACAUUCUUAAAUGUCUAAAACAAAAUGAACGUGAAGAGAUCCGAAAAAUUCUCUGCUCUCUUAUCGAUGAAUAUACUCAGUCAGAAGUGGAUCUUACAAAGUUCUUUCAAAAUAAAGACUUAAGAGCUCAUGUUCCCAUUGCCUUGGCCAGCAAAGCCCCAGAAUGGAUGUGCCUUGCCCUAAUGAAAGGAGAGUUAGCCCCUUUUCUUAGUGACUGCUUGAUCUUAAAGAGAGCAUUUUUGCACAAUCAGGUGGAGAAUGCUAGCAGACCCAGCAGUAAUAGAUGUUCAUUGUAUAUUCGUCAGGUCAUUUAUGGACUGUUGCUGUGUACCAGCGAGCCUUGUCCUGAUCUAACGUUGGAUUUAUCAAGUAGGGUUUCAGUACAGGCAGGCAUUGGUGAAGAAAGACUCGGCAAAAUGCCUUGUGUGGAUGAAUUUGAUAGAUACGAACAAACACUGAGAAAAUCUAGUGUCCAAGCGGUGCUGAAAACAUUCAACGCAAAUGAAAACUAUUCAUUGCAAAGACUACCUGAGGUGAAUGUGCAUCAAAAAUUUAAAGUGAGAGAUAUUGGAACUGAAUAUGUAUUAUAUUACAGACUGUCACAGAUUGAAGUGAUUUCUAGCUUUAACGUUACUUGGAACUAUUUUAGAUAAGGAGUACGGGGGGUCCCUGAUUUACUGAUUCCCUGAUCCCAUAUAGGGAAUUUUAAAUAUCUGACAUACAAACAUUUCCUGUACUUGUGAACUGUUACUUUAUAUUGAUCUGCAUUUUGUUCUGACUUGCAAAAAGAAUCAGGAACUGCAACUGUUCCCAACCCAGGUAUUGCCUGUAUCUCCCUGAUAACAUCUGUCUGCUGAAAUUAAGCUAAUCAAUCCCACAAAACUUAGCCUAGUAUCUGAGGGACUCACCGGGGAAGAAACUACCCAAGAUUGUAACUUUCCUCCAAACAGCCUGUUUAUUUUUAAUAAACUUGAUGUGCUAUAAACAUCCAGA
Molecule: RNA transcript, 2797 nt
Organism: Rhincodon typus (whale shark)
Lineage: Eukaryota; Metazoa; Chordata; Chondrichthyes; Orectolobiformes; Rhincodontidae
Gene: hscb
Gene name: HscB mitochondrial iron-sulfur cluster cochaperone
Exons: 3
Source: RefSeq, a predicted model, not a curated record